AUUGAACGCUGGCGGCGUGCCUAACACAUGCAAGUCGAGCGGCAGCGCGGGAGCAAUCCUGGCGGCGAGCGGCGGACGGGUGAGUAACGCUUGGGAAUCUGCCUGUUAGUGGGGGACAACCCGGGGAAACUCGGGCUAAUACCGCAUACGCACUACGGUGGAAAGCCGGGGACCGCAAGGCCUGGCGCUAACAGAUGAGCCCAAGUCGGAUUAGCUAGUUGGUAGGGUAACGGCCUACCAAGGCGACGAUCCGUAACUGGUCUGAGAGGACGACCAGUCACACCGGAACUGAGACACGGUCCGGACUCCUACGGGAGGCAGCAGUGGGGAAUAUUGGACAAUGGGGAAACCCUGAUCCAGCGACGCCGCGUGGGUGAAGAAGGCCUGCGGGUUGUAAAGCCCUUUCAGUGGGGAAGAAAAGCCUCGACCUAACACGUCGGGGUCUUGACGUAACCCAUAGAAGAAGCACCGGCUAACUCUGUGCCA
This 486-nucleotide ribosomal RNA is filed under the name uncultured bacterium. Its description in RNAcentral is "bacterial SSU rRNA". It matches the Rfam family "Bacterial small subunit ribosomal RNA", at positions 29 to 510 of the family's 1533-position model. The record is from RNAcentral.